Molecule: long non-coding RNA, 877 nt
Organism: Malaya genurostris
Lineage: Eukaryota; Metazoa; Arthropoda; Insecta; Diptera; Culicidae
Exons: 4
Source: RefSeq, a predicted model, not a curated record
AGUAGAUCGAUGAGUUUAUCAUUAGCUCAACUCUCGGUGCUGUCUGGUGCAUUCAGGCACUUGAAUCUCCUAUCGGUGAAUUCAACGAGGAGGUGACUGGCAGGCGAGGACAAGCCAAAACCGUAAACUCACGAUCCUAUUCCCAUCCAACCGCUAAUCCCAAUCGAUCUUAUACAUCCCUAUCCCAUCAUCAGCUGCCGUUAGUGGUUUGAGUAUCAGAUUAUACGAUGACAUAAACGUCAACCGCUGUCAGUUGACAGAUCGAUCGCGCGCGAUACGGUUCAGGUAGAUACAAGCCGCAAUUGGGAAUCUUCGGAUCUUCUAGAGUGAACUGUGAGAGAGUGAACAUCGAGAAAACGCAUUCCGCGUCUAAAGUCUUUUCUUUAUUGAUUUAGUUUUCCGGAAGUGUUUUAAUAGCAACGGAGGACGGUCGUAAACCGCCCGUUGAUCGCGAAGUUCGUACCAGUUACUAAGAAGUAUUAGUGAGGCGAAAAUAGCGCAUAUUUUCGCAAAAGUGUCGGCCCUCAACCACGUGCUAAAAGCAGUAUCCAUCACGAUGAGUCCUGUACCGACGAGAGCAGUCGAAGGAGACCCGCCCUAACCUCAUAGCUCUACCGACACAUCGAGCUGCGACUAACGGGAGAGGAUCUACGGUCUAAUCCGUGCACUAAGUUUUCUAAAUGCGAGGAUUUCUUAACUUUUUCGUUGUUUUUAUAAAUUGUCGAGAGUUGAUUUUGGCACUUCUUGCGUUAACAAGUGUUAUGAUCAAUCACAUUUUGAAAAGAGUAGUAUAAAUACAGGAGAGAAACGGGCGCCGGAAAACUAUCACCCGGAGAGUGCUUUCGUCCGCACGAAGGUGAGAUCCAGCGGAACGGGU